RNAcentral lists this unclassified non-coding RNA (272 nucleotides) under fungal sp. RNAcentral's name for it is "partial internal transcribed spacer region". The stretch from base 1 to 46 matches the Rfam family "Eukaryotic small subunit ribosomal RNA", at positions 1786 to 1831 of the family's 1831-position model. Lineage: Eukaryota; Fungi. The record is from RNAcentral.
AAGUCGUAACAAGGUAACCGUAGGUGAACCUGCGGUUGGAUCAUUACAAAAUGAUUUUCCUUGGUUGUUGAGCUCUGCCAAUUGGUGGAGCUCCGACCGAGGGACUAACCCUUUGUGCACUAAUUAUCAAUUUUGGGUAGUAUCGGUGCUUGUUUUAAGGUUUACUUUGAAGCUCGCUACUGGGCUGCCCGACAGUUUAACAAACCCUUAUAAUUUGUCUGAUAUAUCGUAAAAAAUAUAAACAACUUUUGACAACGGAUCUCUUGGCUCUC